This 24-nucleotide non-coding RNA is filed under the name Rattus norvegicus (Norway rat). Lineage: Eukaryota; Metazoa; Chordata; Mammalia; Rodentia; Muridae. The record is from RNAcentral.
UGCCUCUUGGAUGCAAGCCAUUAU